Molecule: ribosomal RNA, 547 nt
Filed under: uncultured Basidiomycota
Lineage: Eukaryota; Fungi; Basidiomycota
Description: SSU rRNA
Rfam family: Eukaryotic small subunit ribosomal RNA
Source: RNAcentral
UUGGAGGGCAAGUCUGGUGCCAGCAGCCGCGGUAAUUCCAGCUCCAAUAGCGUAUAUUAAAGUUGUUGCAGUUAAAAAGCUCGUAGUUGAACUUCAGACCUGGCUGGGCGGUCCGCUUAACGGCGUGUACUGUCUGGCUGGGUCUUACCUCUUGGUGAGCCGGCGUGCCCUUUAUUGGUGUGCGUCGGGGAACCAGGACUUUUACCUUGAGAAAAUUAGAGUGUUCAAAGCAGGCCUAUGCCUGAAUACAUUAGCAUGGAAUAAUAAAAUAGGACGUGCGGUUCUAUUUUGUUGGUUUCUAGAGUCGCCGUAAUGAUUAAUAGGGAUAGUUGGGGGCAUUGGUAUUGUGUCGCUAGAGGUGAAAUUCUUGGAUUGACACAAGACCAACUACUGCGAAAGCAUUUGCCAAGGAUGUUUUCAUUAAUCAAGAACGAAGGUUAGGGGAUCGAAAACGAUCAGAUACCGUUGUAGUCUUAACAGUAAACUAUGCCGACUGGGGAUCGGACGACCUCAAUUUUGAUGCGUCGUUCGGCGCCUUACGGGAAAC